UCCUCGGUAGUAUAGUGGUGAGUAUCCCAGCCUGACACGCGGGAGACCGGGGUUCAAUUCCCCGCCGGGGAG
RNAcentral lists this transfer RNA (72 nucleotides) under Daphnia pulicaria. RNAcentral describes it as "tRNA-Val". It matches the Rfam family "tRNA". From Rfam's summary of the family: Transfer RNA (tRNA) molecules are approximately 80 nucleotides in length. Lineage: Eukaryota; Metazoa; Arthropoda; Branchiopoda; Diplostraca; Daphniidae. The record is from RNAcentral.